CAAACUUGGUCAUUUAGAGGAAGUAAAAGUCGUAACAAGGUCUCCGUUGGUGAACCAGCGGAGGGAUCAUUACCGAGUUUACAACUCCCAAACCCUUAUGUGAACCGUACCUAUCGUUGCUUCGGCGGGAACGCCCCGGCGCCCUGCGCCCGGAUCCAGGCGCCCGCCGGAGACCCCAAACUCUUGUGUUUUUUUCAGUAUUCUCUGAGUGGCAAACGCAAAAAUAAAUCAAAACUUUUAACAACGGAUCUCUUGGCUCUGGCAUCGAUGAAGAACGCAGCGAAAUGCGAUAAGUAAUGUGAAUUGCAGAAUUCAGUGAAUCAUCGAAUCUUUGAACGCACAUUGCGCCCGUUAGCAUUCUAGCGGGCAUGCCUGUCCGAGCGUCAUUUCAACCCUCAGGGUCCCCGUUCCGGCGGGGAACCUGGUGUUGGGGAUCGGCCCGCCCCGCGCGGCGCCGUCCCCCAAAUUCAGUGGCGGUCUCGCUGCAGCCUCCCCUGCGUAGUAGUUACAACCUCGCAUCGGAGCUCAGCGCGGCCACGCCGUAAAACCCCCGACUUUCUGAACGUUGACCUCGGAUCAGGUAGGAAUACCCGCUGAACUUAAGCAUAUCAAUAAGCGGAGGA
RNAcentral lists this ribosomal RNA (623 nucleotides) under Stachybotrys sp. HZ-22. RNAcentral's name for it is "eukaryotic LSU rRNA". The stretch from base 233 to 386 matches the Rfam family "5.8S ribosomal RNA". Lineage: Eukaryota; Fungi; Ascomycota; Sordariomycetes; Hypocreales; Stachybotryaceae. The record is from RNAcentral.